UUGGCUAAUCCUGGUCGGACAUCAGGAGGUUAGUGCAAUGGCAUAAGCCAGCUUGACUGCGAGCGUGACGGCGCGAGCAGGUGCGAAAGCAGGUCAUAGUGAUCCGGUGGUUCUGAAUGGAAGGGCCAUCGCUCAACGGAUAAAAGGUACUCCGGGGAUAACAGGCUGAUACCGCCCAAGAGUUCAUAUCGACGGCGGUGUUUGGCACCUCGAUGUCGGCUCAUCACAUCCUGGGGCUGAAGUAGGUCCCAAGGGUAUGGCUGUUCGCCAUUUAAAGUGGUACGCGAGCUGGGUUUAGAACGUCGUGAGACAGUUCGGUCCCUAUCUGCCGUGGGCGCUGGAGAACUGAGGGGGGCUGCUCCUAGUACGAGAGGACCGGAGUGGACGCAUCACUGGUGUUCGGGUUGUCAUGCCAAUGGCACUGCCCGGUAGCUAAAUGCGGAAGAGAUAAGUGCUGAAAGCAUCUAAGCACGAAACUUGCCCCGAGAUGAGUUCUCCCUGAGACUUUAAGUCUCCUGAAGGAACGUUGAAGACGACGACGUUGAUAGGCCGGGUGUGUAAGCGCAGCGAUGCGUUGAGCUAACCGGUACUAAUGAACCGUGAGG
This 605-nucleotide ribosomal RNA is filed under the name Escherichia coli. Its description in RNAcentral is "partial 23S ribosomal RNA". It matches the Rfam family "Bacterial large subunit ribosomal RNA", at positions 2317 to 2916 of the family's 2925-position model. The record is from RNAcentral. Lineage: Bacteria; Pseudomonadati; Pseudomonadota; Gammaproteobacteria; Enterobacterales; Enterobacteriaceae.